UGGGGAAUUUUGGACAAUGGGCGAAAGCCUGAUCCAGCAAUGCCGCGUGUGUGAAGAAGGCCUUCGGGUUGUAAAGCACUUUUGUCCGGAAAGAAAUCCUCUGGGUUAAUACCUCGGGGGGAUGACGGUACCGGAAGAAUAAGCACCGGCUAACUACGUGCCAGCAGCCGCGGUAAUACGUAGGGUGCAAGCGUUAAUCGGAAUUACUGGGCGUAAAGCGUGCGCAGGCGGUUUUGUAAGACGGAUGUGAAAUCCCCGGGCUUAACCUGGGAACUGCAUUCGUGACUGCAAGGCUAGAGUAUGGCAGAGGGGGGUAGAAUUCCACGUGUAGCAGUGAAAUGCGUAGAGAUGUGGAGGAAUACCGAUGGCGAAGGCAGCCCCCUGGGCCAAUACUGACGCUCAUGCACGAAAGCGUGGGGGAGCAAACAGGAUUCAGAUACCCUGGUAGUCCACGCCCUAAACGAUGUCAACUAGUUGUUGGGGAUUCAUUUCCUUAGUAACGUAGCUAACGCGUGAAGUUGACCGCCUGGGGAGUACGGUCGCAAGAUU
This 549-nucleotide ribosomal RNA is filed under the name uncultured bacterium. Its description in RNAcentral is "partial 16S ribosomal RNA". It matches the Rfam family "Bacterial small subunit ribosomal RNA", at positions 355 to 895 of the family's 1533-position model. The record is from RNAcentral.